ACCCGCUGGAUUUAAGCAUAUCAGUAAGCGGAGGAAAAGAAACUAACUAGGAUUGCCCCAGUAGCGGCGAGUGAACAGGCAAAAGCUCAAAGUGAAAAUCCAUUACAUAAAGUUGUGGAAUUGUAAUCUAGAGAGGCAUUCGGAGGGGAUCGGGCGUGGUAUAAGUUCCUUGGAACAGGACGUCAUAGAGGGUGAUAACCCCGUAGUCAACUACGUCUCGGAACCAACGAGUGUUUUCAAAGAGUCGGGUUGUUUGGGAUUGCAGCCCUAAAUGGGAGAUAAACUUCUUCUAAAGCUAAAUAUUUAUGGGAAACCGAUAGCGAACAAGUACUGCGAAGGAAAGGUGAAAAGAACUUUGAAAAGAGGGUUAAAAGACUUGAAAUCGUUGAGAAGAAAGUGGUAGAAGAGUAAUCAUUUGUGUACGAUAUGUGAGUCGGUGAAGGGAUUGGUAAGGUUUUAGUACUUCAUAGGCUGUACUUUGCCAAAUCCUGAACUAGCUUAUUAUUCGUAUGCAAGAGGCAAAAUGAGGUUUCACCUGGGGAAUCGGCUGUUUAGAAGACCCUUUUACUUGUAGAAGGAGCUAGGCAGUAAAACCUAGGAGGAGUCUGAGGGGCCUGCGGGCGAUUUUGCCAAAGUGGCUUCUACUGUCCCGUCUUGAAACACGGACCAAGGAGUCUAUCCAGUAUGCGAGUGUUAGGGUGGAAAAACCCGAACGCAUAAGGAAACUGAGGAUAAGCUGUUAACAGCAGCAGCCGAACCUGCGUCUCCGACAAAGGUAUCGAGCAAGAGCAUAUUUGAUAGGACCCGAAAGAUGGUGAACUUCGCUUGAGUAGGGUGAAGCCAGGGGAAACUCUGGUGAAAGCUCGAAGCGGUACUGACGUGCAAAUCGUUCGUCAAACUUGAGUGAAGGGGCGAAAGACUAAUCGAACCAUCUAGUAGCUGGUUCCCUCUGAAGUUUCUCUCAGGAUAGCUGGAACAGAAACGCAGUUUUAUUAGGUAAAGCGAAUGAUUAGAGGAAUCGGAGCUCAAAGAGUUUUGACCUAUUCUCAAACUUUAAAUUGGUAAGAGCCGGGGGUUGAUCUUAAGUGAACCCUUGGGUUGAAUGCUUGUUCCAUGUGGGCCAUUUUUGGUAAGCAGAACUGGCGAUGAGGGAUGAACCUAACGCUGAGAUAAGGUGCCUAAAUCUGCAUUCAUGAGAUCCCACAAAAGGUGUUGGUUCAUUUAGACAGCAGGACGGUGGCCCUGGAAGUCGGAAUCCGCUAAGGAGUGUGUAACAACUCACCUGCCGAAUGAACUAGCCCUGAAAAUGGAUGGCGCUGAAGUGCAGUACCGAUACUCAGCCAUUACGACAAAUGCGAGGUCGUGAUGAGUAAGAGGGCGUGUCCGUCACGUGUAGAAGCCUUUGGUGUGAACCUGGGUGGAACGGCGGAUAGUGCAGAUCUUGGUGGUAGUAGCAAAUAUUCAAAUGAGAACUUUGAAGACCGAAGUGGGGAAGGGUUCCAUGAGAACAGCAAUUGGUCAUGGGUUACUCGAUCCUAAGGCAUAGGGCAAGUCCUUGUAAUGCAAUGGGGUGUACACCUCAGCUGCCAAAAGGGAAAGGGGUUAAUAUUCCUCUAGUUGGCCGUGGAUAACAUGUGGCAACACAAAUGAGUCCGUAGACGUCGGCAUGACCCCCUGGAAGAGUUAUCUUUUCUUUUUAACUGUUUAUGGCCCUGAAAUUGGAUUAUCCAGAGAUAGGGCUGUAAGGCAGGCAGAGCAGUUCACUCUAUGAACUGUCAGGUGCGGUCAUGACGACCCUUGAAAAUACGGAGGAGAUAUUUAUAUCACGCCAAAUCGUACCCAUAACCGCAUCAGGUCUCCAAGGUU
RNAcentral lists this ribosomal RNA (1866 nucleotides) under Miamiensis avidus. RNAcentral describes it as "eukaryotic LSU rRNA". It matches the Rfam family "Eukaryotic large subunit ribosomal RNA", at positions 23 to 1874 of the family's 3401-position model. The record is from RNAcentral. Lineage: Eukaryota; Ciliophora; Oligohymenophorea; Philasterida; Glauconematidae.